RNAcentral lists this unclassified non-coding RNA (263 nucleotides) under plant metagenome. Its description in RNAcentral is "partial contains small subunit ribosomal RNA, internal transcribed spacer 1, and 5.8S ribosomal RNA". The record is from RNAcentral.
UUUCCGAAGGUGAACCUGCGGAAGGAUCAUUAUUGUAUAACCGAGGUGCGAGGGCUGUCGCUGACCCGAAAGGUCGUGCACGCCCGAGUGCCCUCACACACAUCCAUCUCACCCCUAUGUGCACCACCGCGUGGGUCCCCCUUUGGCUUGUUCGGAGGGGGGCUUACGUUUUCACACAAACUUUGUAUGCAGUGUAGAAUGUAUUUUUUGUUUUUGCGAUCACGCAAUCAAUACAACUUUCAACAAUGGAUCUCUUGGCUCUC